This 277-nucleotide long non-coding RNA is filed under the name Gossypium barbadense (sea-island cotton). Its description in RNAcentral is "long non-coding RNA (GBAR_LNC001492)". Lineage: Eukaryota; Viridiplantae; Streptophyta; Magnoliopsida; Malvales; Malvaceae. The record is from RNAcentral.
UGGCUAUUAUGGAGUUGCACACACACCAAGCAAAUUGACCAUACUCGGCAUGUAAGUAGACUGCCUUGGUAUUUUGCAAAUCUUUCAUGCCUCUUGCUAAUCUUGUUUAUUUUUCUUUAACUUCCACUGGCAUUUGUCUUUGGUAGAUAAUGCUAUCUUCCACGCUGUGCAGAUACGGAUUCUGAAGUUAAAAGAUGAAGUUUCCGGUCCUUCUAAAAUUAUUUAUUUUAUUAUUAACCCAUAUAGGACGUGUUGGCAUUUAAUUGAACAUACAAAA